Molecule: ribosomal RNA, 258 nt
Filed under: uncultured bacterium
Lineage: Bacteria
Description: partial 16S ribosomal RNA
Rfam family: Bacterial small subunit ribosomal RNA
Source: RNAcentral
GAUCAUGGCUCAGGAUGAACGCUAGCUACAGGCUUAACACAUGCAAGUCGAGGGGCAUCGGGAAGAAAGCUUGCUUUCUUUGCUGGCGACCGGCGCACGGGUGAGCAACACGUAUCCAACCUGCCCUUUACUCGGGGGAUAGCCUUUCGAAAGAAAGAUUAAUACCCGAUGGGAUAAUUAUUCCGCAUGGUUUGAUUAUUAAAGGGAUUCCGGUAAAGGAUGGGGAUGCGUUCCAUUAGGUUGUUGGUGAGGUAACGG